Oncorhynchus tshawytscha (Chinook salmon) is the source of this 552-nucleotide long non-coding RNA. Lineage: Eukaryota; Metazoa; Chordata; Actinopteri; Salmoniformes; Salmonidae. The record is from Ensembl.
UUCGUGUUUCUUGUUUUGUUUUAUUUUUAGUUUAUUGAUUAAAUCACUUGCUUCCUGACUCUCAGUGAACUUGUUACAGAAUAACGCCUCACCUAAGGGAUGCAUCAGGGAGUGUUUUUUGUUUUGGUGGGAAUGACGUCGGGUCCGGCAGCCGCUACAGGCUCCCCUUCCUCAGCCGAUCUGUCAGGUUCCCGCGCCCCAGCCGGCGACAGGCUCUCAUGCCUCAGAUAGAUCGCCAGGCUCCCCUGCCUCAGCCGAUCUGUCAGGUUCCCGCGCCCCAGCCGGCGACAGGCUCUCAUGCCUCAGACAGAUCGCCAGGCUCCCCUGCCUCAGCCGAUCUGUCAGGUUCCCGCGCCCCAGCCGGCGACAGGUUCCCGUGCUUCAGCAGGAGUGACCGGUCUGCUCCUGAUCCCCAGAAUCAUCCCUUUGGUGUCCGGGAGAGGGUACUGUCAUGUGUGCUCCCUCUCCGACCUCUAAGUCACCAGGCUGCUCGUUAUGGCGCACACCUGUCAAAAUCGUUAUGCGCACCUACGCGUCCUCAGACUCACCUGG